RNAcentral lists this ribosomal RNA (364 nucleotides) under uncultured Halomonas sp. Its description in RNAcentral is "bacterial SSU rRNA". It matches the Rfam family "Bacterial small subunit ribosomal RNA", at positions 129 to 488 of the family's 1533-position model. Lineage: Bacteria; Pseudomonadati; Pseudomonadota; Gammaproteobacteria; Oceanospirillales; Halomonadaceae. The record is from RNAcentral.
CCCGGUAGUGGGGGAUAACCUGGGGAAACCCAGGCUAAUACCGCAUACGUCCUACGGGAGAAAGCAGGGGAUCUUCGGACCUUGCGCUAUCGGAUGAGCCUAUGUCGGAUUAGCUUGUUGGUGAGGUAAUGGCUCACCAAGGCGACGAUCCGUAGCUGGUCUGAGAGGAUGAUCAGCCACAUCGGGACUGAGACACGGCCCGAACUCCUACGGGAGGCAGCAGUGGGGAAUAUUGGACAAUGGGCGAAAGCCUGAUCCAGCCAUGCCGCGUGUGUGAAGAAGGCUUUCGGGUUGUAAAGCACUUUCAGUGAGGAAGAAGGCCUUGGGGCUAAUACCCCCGAGGAAGGACAUCACCCACAGCGGG